RNAcentral lists this ribosomal RNA (972 nucleotides) under uncultured archaeon. RNAcentral's name for it is "bacterial SSU rRNA". It matches the Rfam family "Archaeal small subunit ribosomal RNA", at positions 85 to 1058 of the family's 1478-position model. The record is from RNAcentral.
ACUGCUCAGUAACACGUGGACAACCUGCCCUUAGGUUGGGUAUAAACCCGGGAAACUGGGUAUAAUACCCGAUAGGUCUCGAUUGCUGGAAUGCAUCGAGAUUUAAAGCUCCGGCGCUUAAGGAUGGGUCUGCGGCCUAUCAGGUAGUAGUGGGUGUAGCGUACCUACUAGCCUACGACGGGUACGGGUUGUGAGAGCAAGAGCCCGGAGAUGGAUUCUGAGACACGAAUCCAGGCCCUACGGGGUGCAGCAGGCGCGAAAACUUUACAAUGCUGGCAACAGCGAUAAGGGAACCUCGAGUGCCAGGUUACAAAUCUGGCUGUCGAGAUGCCUAAAAAGCAUUUCAUAGCAAGGGCCGGGCAAGACCGGUGCCAGCCGCCGCGGUAACACCGGCGGCUCGAGUGGUAACCGUUAUUAUUGGGUCUAAAGGGUCUGUAGCCGGCCGGAUAAGUCUCUUGAGAAAUCUGGCAGCUUAACUGUCAGGCUUUCAGGAGAUACUGUCUGGCUCGGGGCCGGGAGAGGUGAGAGGUACUUCAGGGGUAGGGGUGAGAUCUUGUAAUCCUUGAAGGACCACCAGUGGCGAAGGCGUCUCACCAGAACGGACCUGACGGCAAGGGACGAAAGCUAGGGGCACGAACCGGAUUAGAUACCCGGGUAGUCCUAGCCGUAAACGAUACUCGCUAGGUGUCGGCCACGGUGCGACCGUUGUCGGUGCCGUAGGGAAGCCGUGAAGCGAGCCACCUGGGAAGUACGGCCGCAAGGCUGAAACUUAAAGGAAUUGGCGGGGGAGCACCACAACGGGUGGAGCUUGCGGUUUAAUUGGAUUCAACGCCGGAAAUCUUACCGGGACCGACAGCAAUAUGAAGGCCAGGCUGAAGACUUUGCCGGAUUAGCUGAGAGGUGGUGCAUGGCCGUCGUCAGUUCGUACUGUGAAGCAUCCUGUUAAGUCAGGCAACGAGCGAGACCCCUGCC